This 253-nucleotide ribosomal RNA is filed under the name uncultured bacterium. RNAcentral's name for it is "partial 16S ribosomal RNA". It matches the Rfam family "Bacterial small subunit ribosomal RNA", at positions 524 to 776 of the family's 1533-position model. The record is from RNAcentral.
UACGAAGGGGGCUAGCGUUUCUCGGAAUGACUGGGCGUAAAGGGCGCGUAGGCGGUUCACACAGUCAGGCGUGAAAUUCCUGGGCUUAACCUGGGGGCUGCGUUUGAUACGUGUGGGCUUGAGGGUGGAAGAGGCUCGUGGAAUUCCCAGUGUAGAGGUGAAAUUCGUAGAUAUUGGGAAGAACACCGGUGGCGAAGGCGGCGAGCUGGUCCAUUUCUGACGCUGAGGCGCGAAAGCGCGGGGAGCAAACAGG